AUCAGACGCGAAUACCCGCUGAACUUAAGC
This 30-nucleotide ribosomal RNA is filed under the name Tylodelphys sp. 1 DIL-2013. RNAcentral describes it as "partial 28S ribosomal RNA". Lineage: Eukaryota; Metazoa; Platyhelminthes; Trematoda; Diplostomida; Diplostomidae. The record is from RNAcentral.